UGGUAAGUAGUUUAAACAAAACAAAUGAUUUCGACUCAUUAAAUUAUGACACUCAUACUAACCAA
This 65-nucleotide transfer RNA is filed under the name Cercopithecus albogularis albotorquatus. RNAcentral describes it as "tRNA-Arg". RNAcentral also lists the same sequence under 1 other name. The record is from RNAcentral. Lineage: Eukaryota; Metazoa; Chordata; Mammalia; Primates; Cercopithecidae.